GACGAACGCUGGCGGCGUGCUUAACACAUGCAAGUCGAACGGAAAGGCCCUGCUUUUGUGGGGUGCUCGAGUGGCGAACGGGUGAGUAACACGUGAGUAACCUGCCCUCGACUUUGGGAUAACUUCAGGAAACUGGGGCUAAUACCGGAUAGGAGCUCCUGCUGCAUGGUGGGGGUUGGAAAGUUUCGGCGGUUGGGGAUGGACUCGCGGCUUAUCAGCUUGUUGGUGGGGUAGUGGCUUACCAAGGCUUUGACGGGUAGCCGGCCUGAGAGGGUGACCGGCCACAUUGGGACUGAGAUACGGCCCAGACUCCUACGGGAGGCAGCAGUGGGGAAUAUUGCACAAUGGGCGGAAGCCUGAUGCAGCAACGCCGCGUGCGGGAUGACGGCCUUCGGGUUAUAAACCGCUUUCGCCUGUGACGAAGCGUGAGUGACGGUAAUGGGUAAAGAAGCACCGGCUAACUACGUG
RNAcentral lists this ribosomal RNA (468 nucleotides) under uncultured bacterium. RNAcentral's name for it is "partial 16S ribosomal RNA". It matches the Rfam family "Bacterial small subunit ribosomal RNA", at positions 28 to 507 of the family's 1533-position model. The record is from RNAcentral.